UGCGAGGCGAGACUCUAGGUACACUGCCAGAUGGCGCUUAUCGAUGGUGUAAAGAAAUCCUCUGGUUUGUACGAUACGAACACACUUGUUACGAGAAGAUUUAUAUUAUUUAACAAUCACUCGAAGGAAUUGGUUAACGAUAUAGUAGACUAACUAGCAAUCCUGAGUCUCGCUUGUCAAUGUAACAGUAGAAAUUUAAUCAUUAUUGUAAAGUUACAAUCUAUCGAAUUCGGGACCCUCGCGAGCUCUACACCUCUAAUUACGCCACUGCAAUAUAUUUUUUUAGUAUUAUGCCGGCACAAAAAUCUUUGCAAUACAUAGUCGUAGUCGGUAAUAGUUUCAGAAGGAUUGGUUAAAAUAAAGAUUUUGAAAAAAUAUUAAUUAGAAGAUCCCUAUUGUUGGCUACUUUGACAUUUAAUUUACUGCAAAAAGAGUUGGUAGCAAAGAAGUGACGCGUUCUGCUGCAAACGGAAAUAAUUCAUGAGUCAGGCAUGAAAUUUUUCGUUCUGAAAUCAUGUAUAAAAAUAUCUGUACGAGGAAUGCAACAGUCGUCUCGGAGAUGAGUUGUUCAGAGGAAAAUGAUCUCGGACAAGUUGCUUCGAUUUCAACUAAUUUCCAUAUAGAAAAGUCUGGAUGUUCCCAUUGGUUCAACCAAAAGAGGUCGUAAGGUAUCCCCGGUGCGAUCAAUAUGGAAGAGAAGAUAUGGGUGACUUCGACCCACCGUGAAAACCAUACGCAGACUGCACGUGUCUAUGGUGCAACAUUCUGUAACUUUUUGCAACUUGAGUCCAUCGUCUCUCAAGAGAAUAAAUUUAACAAUUUCUAA
Molecule: long non-coding RNA, 826 nt
Organism: Hylaeus volcanicus
Lineage: Eukaryota; Metazoa; Arthropoda; Insecta; Hymenoptera; Colletidae
Exons: 2
Source: RefSeq, a predicted model, not a curated record